RNAcentral lists this ribosomal RNA (1371 nucleotides) under uncultured bacterium. Its description in RNAcentral is "bacterial SSU rRNA". It matches the Rfam family "Bacterial small subunit ribosomal RNA", at positions 28 to 1381 of the family's 1533-position model. The record is from RNAcentral.
GAUGAACGCUGGCGGCGUGCCUAAUACAUGCAAGUCGAGCGAACAGAUAAGGAGCUUGCUCCUUUGAAGUUAGCGGCGGACGGGUGAGUAACACGUGGGUAACCUACCUAUAAGACUGGGAUAACUUCGGGAAACCGGAGCUAAUACCGGAUAACAUUUAGAACCGCAUGGUUCUAAAGUGAAAGAUGGUUUUGCUAUCACUUAUAGAUGGACCCGCGCCGUAUUAGCUAGUUGGUAAGGUAACGGCUUACCAAGGCGACGAUACGUAGCCGACCUGAGAGGGUGAUCGGCCACACUGGAACUGAGACACGGUCCAGACUCCUACGGGAGGCAGCAGUAGGGAAUCUUCCGCAAUGGGCGAAAGCCUGACGGAGCAACGCCGCGUGAGUGAUGAAGGGUUUCGGCUCGUAAAACUCUGUUAUUAGGGAAGAACAAAUGUGUAAGUAACUGUGCACAUCUUGACGGUACCUAAUCAGAAAGCCACGGCUAACUACGUGCCAGCAGCCGCGGUAAUACGUAGGUGGCAAGCGUUAUCCGGAAUUAUUGGGCGUAAAGCGCGCGUAGGCGGUUUCUUAAGUCUGAUGUGAAAGCCCACGGCUCAACCGUGGAGGGUCAUUGGAAACUGGGAAACUUGAGUGCAGAAGAGGAAAGUGGAAUUCCAUGUGUAGCGGUGAAAUGCGCAGAGAUAUGGAGGAACACCAGUGGCGAAGGCGACUUUCUGGUCUGUAACUGACGCUGAUGUGCGAAAGCGUGGGGAUCAAACAGGAUUAGAUACCCUGGUAGUCCACGCCGUAAACGAUGAGUGCUAAGUGUUAGGGGGUUUCCGCCCCUUAGUGCUGCAGCUAACGCAUUAAGCACUCCGCCUGGGGAGUACGACCGCAAGGUUGAAACUCAAAGGAAUUGACGGGGACCCGCACAAGCGGUGGAGCAUGUGGUUUAAUUCGAAGCAACGCGAAGAACCUUACCAAAUCUUGACAUCCUUUGAAAACUCUAGAGAUAGAGCCUUCCCCUUCGGGGGACAAAGUGACAGGUGGUGCAUGGUUGUCGUCAGCUCGUGUCGUGAGAUGUUGGGUUAAGUCCCGCAACGAGCGCAACCCUUAAGCUUAGUUGCCAUCAUUAAGUUGGGCACUCUAGGUUGACUGCCGGUGACAAACCGGAGGAAGGUGGGGAUGACGUCAAAUCAUCAUGCCCUUAUGAUUUGGGCUACACACGUGCUACAAUGGACAAUACAAAGGGCAGCUAAACCGCGAGGUCAUGCAAAUCCCAUAAAGUUGUUCUCAGUUCGGAUUGUAGUCUGCAACUCGACUACAUGAAGCUGGAAUCGCUAGUAAUCGUAGAUCAGCAUGCUACGGUGAAUACGUUCCCGGGUCU